CUGUUUAUGGCCCGACGCGUGCUACCUCUCCCGAUGCGCUGGUGGAGGAGGCUAUGCUCAGAGGAGAGGAGGCGGCGGAUUCAAGAAUCGGCGGCUGAUGGAGAUGCUACGCCGUGGGGAUCGAGGAGAGCGACAUGGAGCGCGGUUGCCAGCACAAUUUCUCCCCUUGAUCCGCGUCAGCUUGGGGAAGUGGAGAGCAACAUGGAGAGGCGGUGACCAUUCUUCUUCGCCUUGUAAGUCGGAUGGACGACGGUGACGAUUUGCCCCGCGACCGGCACGGCGGGACGCUGCCUAGCGGGCGACGAAGCCAUUGCAGAGAAGGCGGUUCGCCCCCGGCGUAAAUCAUCUCCCUUCCACCGCGCCCUAAUUGCUUUCCGAGCCCUAUGAGUGCGCUUUGUGGUGGUUGUGGUUGUCGCCGGCGCCUGGAGGGGCCGGUUGUGGGAGGUUCGGCAGUGCGUGUUUUGGCCCGUGAUUGGCCUUCAGUUCCUAAGCGGAGUUGUGGUUCAGUUUGCCGUUCCUCCUGUUCUGCCCACGAUUGAUGCACGCCGAGUCUCCUUUCCACCGUCAGUCUCCACACCACAGCUGCUCUCUUGGAAUAGGGAGAGGUGCUCCAACUCCAGCUCUUGCAGAUCGUUGCCGCUGCCGCCUAGAUCCUUCCUGAGCGGUGGCCCUCGACCCGGCCGUCUGGUUCGCCGUGUGGGCGCACAACCACCAACAACGCUGGCGGCCGCUCCGGAUCUGGGGGCACUGCUUUGCCUCGGCCUCCCCCGCCUCCACCGAUGGCGCCGCUGGUAAGCGCUGCUGGCCGGCCGGCGUUCCCACUCCUCAACUAUCCCUCGACCUCAUCCGUGGAGGCCUGAGGCUGCCUCAGCUCCUACCGCCCCCUGGUGACUGCGGUGAAGAUCAAGGCUAGGUCAAGCCUGCACCGGCUUCAAUCCAAUUCAUGCCCACAGGAUCAUCCCUCUAAUUGCUCACUUCGGGUAAUCUAUUCCUAGAGUAAUAAAGUGCCCUUUAUAGAAAAAAAAAACUAUUCCUAAAGGAGUGCAAUGUAACCUCGGGUUGUUGAGCCUAUGUUAUUCAGUGAAAGAUGGGGCAAGUGUAUGUAUUGCUCCAUCAAUUGGAGGCAACGGUUAUAGAAUAUAGACAGAAAUAUUUCAAUUGAAGGCAUUGGGUAUAGGAAUAAGUAUUUGACCAGUACUACCAACAUAUGUUGGCUGUAAUUCAACUGGUGGGGACUGGAUUUUCUCGAGGUGCAGUUUCAUGUGAAACUUUAUUUAAACUAUACGGAUUCAAGCUGCUAGACUGCCUGCCAGAUGUUCGAUGAAAUGCAUCAACUAUCUAACAUGGUAUGAAUAUUUUCUCUAAUUUUAUCUGCAGAAUAAUUUGAACUGGCUCUGUCGCCGUUAGAUGAUUUGGAAAUAGCACUACUACAGGAUAGUGGCAGCGGAGGAAUCCUGCAGUUGGAGUGGAGCAGAGUUGCAUGGACGGAGGGUAUCCGGAUGGCGGCGGCCUCAUGCGGUGCUUUGUGAGCGGCUAUUCCUCGGUGCCAUGCUUGGCCGCCGUUGCUCCGUAGCGACUUCAACAGGCGGUCAUCGCCGUUUUGUCCAUGCAUUCUUCUUAGGUUUUACAUUGUAAUAUGCUAUUAUUUGGUUCAAAUUAUUAAUUACUAAAACAAGUAUAUACUAUCUGCAAUUUGGAAUGUUUGUUCUUUACAUUAAGAACUUGGUGUAUAUUUUGGUUCUAGGUUCAACCACUCAACCCAUGUUCUGUUGUAGGAGAACACCUCAAAAUUAUUUUUGAUUGAUCAUUGAGGUAGAUUGUCCACUCAACCCUAGGAAAACCCACAGUAUACUAUCUGCUGAGUAUAUACCCAGAGUAUACUAUCCAGCCAACAAGUAUAACUGUCAAAUUGGAAUGGUUCUAGGUUCAACCACUCAACCCAUGUUCUGUUGUAGGAAUAGGCUGCUCUCGCCAAUGGCAGUCAUUCUGCAUUGUGCCACAUAAAACUGCUGGUGUUUUUUUUUUCUGAAAAGAACUAUGAUCCGAGUAUACAUCAAUAUCAGAGAUCUAGAAAAAAAAAUUCUGUUAGUUGUGAAUUUUUAACCUAAUUUUACUAUGGGCAUGGUUUCGCUACAUUAGCUUAUUUCCUUUUUGUACGUUCCAGACAUGCUACCAGAAGAUAUUCUCAUGAUCAUUUUAUGGUGAUCCUGUGCAUGUUAGCUUUCUGCUAUUUAAGUUUAAAAGGUUUCAGUAUUUAUUAUGGUAAUUGUGUCAUCUUGUGUUCUGAUUUUUCUUUUGAAAAUUCUUCGUUUCUAUGAUUUAGACAUGUAAGGGAGAUGCUGGUUGGCUAUAGUUUUGUCUUCUCAUUUGCUAGGUUCAUGAGAUUUGAGUUUGUUUUGUUCAUACCCACAAGUACGCACAACGAUAGGAAAUAAAUCUAUUUGGGUAUCUGCAAUAUAAUGAUGACAGUAAAAUAUGGCGUAUCUACACCUUUUUAUUAAAUGGUUCAGCUUCAGAUAAGAGGUUUGCCCUCUAACUUAAGUUCAGCCCCUAUGAUUGAGUACACAUCAGAGUUCUUUUGGACCAGUAAAACCAUAUUAUACAGUCACAACUGACAGUAACACGAACCUUGACAAAGGUAUCACUACAUACAUGUUGAUACAGCUCAAAGUGCUGACCACUUCGUUUAGGCGACACAGUGCUUAUUUUCUAUCUAUGAUGUACCAACCUGAAGCCUUCUGUUGCACAACAAUGUUGUGUUUUCCUUUUGACAGAGUUGUGUUCCAUACUUCCAUUUCUCUGGACUAUACUAUAACCUGUUAUGUGUAUUCUGAAUCUUAGUCUGUUACUUCUGUACAGCACGACGACCCCCAAAUGGCCUCCUCCCCUGGCAGAAGACCCGGCGGUACCAACUACCAUGGAUCACUUCGCGGUGGUGGCGGGUGAUACAGGACCGAUGCACGCGUACGAGGUGGACCUGUAUCAUGAAUGUUGAGCGUGAGAUGGUAAAGAGGAUCAUUUGAUGGCAGCCUUCAGCAAGGUCUGCCCUCUACUACGUCACUUCCUCCUGCCGAUGUUGUGGCCUUCAAGAUGUUACUGCAGCGCUUGGCUUGCUGUUCCUGCUAUUCUGUCCAUGAUCUCUAGGUUUCCACCUUUUGCUAACAUAACUCUCCUACAUAGUAUUAAUUUCAGUUGCUUGAUGGUAGGAACAUACGGGUGCACUACGUGAACCGCGGAUGAUCUUCUGCUUUUGUCGACAUCGGUAAGAUGCCUAUUCGAUAUUGUUUCUACGAUGUUAAUCAUGUAUGUUAAACCGUGCAUAGUGAGCAAUUGGUGCCCUCAUCUUAUGACUUGAAUAUGUCAUCAAAUCCCACGAAAAUAACUAUCCACACGUAAGUGUAUUACGUAUUAUGCAGCAUGUUAAAUCAUGUAUUAUGUAUGUUAAAUUUGUAAUGUUUAACAAUUCAUGCCCCUGAUCCUAAAACUUGAAUGUGGCAUCAAUUCCCUCGGAAUAUAUCUGCCCAUCCAAUAUUUGUAUUGUGUACGAUGCAGCAUGCAUGCCAUAUUGUAUCUAUUCAGACUGCCACUGGCUCUGCAAAUUAGAGCUUACUUUUGAAGAACUUAUUUAGUGGGGAGCAGUAAUUAGGGUAAUUUUACCAAUAGGGGAGUGUAUUAUUCAAGCCCACAUGAGUCAGUAGAGAUUCACAAUGGAGAGAUAUACUGUGAAUCAUCUCAUAUUUAACUCAACCACCCAAUCAUAUAACACAAGAGUAGUCGGAGAGAAUGCCUUAUGUAUAUGGCCUACAGCAUACUGCCUUCUAGGAACCAGAUUAAUAUUCAUCAUUUAGCAUGGCAGUAACAAAGAACAAGAACCAUAAUACGUACUAUUUAUUGUCCAAUUUUUUAAUUUACAUUAUCAAGCAAGCAGAAUAGUAUCCAUGUGAUAGCAUAAAGACCCUCACAAAACAAUUUCUGCAUAAAGGUUAGAACAGUUAAAAAUAAAAUGUUGCAUGGAACGCUGAAGGGCCUUAUAUGUUUUACUUUUAGGUAUGAAGUCCGUGUCCUCCUUAUUUUUCGUUAUUAUUGUCUGAUUUCCGAUACACUCUCCAAUGCACAUUCGUUGUGUUGAGAGUCUGAUUGUUAAAUGAAAUGAUAAACAUGUACCCUGGAAUUUUGUACUUACAUGAUCAUGGCACAUACUCUAAGUCCAGUCUUAAACUUAUUGCUUACAACCUUUUAAAAAUACGGUUUCUUGCAUGCAAAGGAACAAACGAAAAUAACAGCAUUAUCUAGGAGAUUCUGCUUCUUUUAUCGUAGAAUGAUGCAGGGUUUCAUGCCAUUACAUCUGACAUUUUGGUUGCUUCCGGGAGUAAAGAUAUCUACUUGGGUUUUCUCUCGAAGAUUGCAUUUUCCUUACAUAAUCCAUUUAAAUUUGGAGAUUCUCACUCACUGGUUCAUGUAGAAAGAGAAUGUAAACUGUAUCCACUUUUUCUUGGAUCAUUUGGGAUUGCUGAAUGGAAAACACUUUCAAGGCACAAAAUCUAUGAGAAUCAUGACAAGUAAUUGUACCGAAAAGGAUUACUGUCCUAUCUGGCAAUCUGUAUUGAAUUAAUUUAAGCUAGAACUGAGAAACAAGUUAGCUUAAAAAAAAAAACAAAUAGUUAUUUCGUGCUCAAGUAUUCCUAAAUAGCUGAACAGAUUGAGUUCAUUGCAGUAAAUUUCUUUUGAAAACCUAACAUUGAUGAUGCAAGUUUCAACUGGACCAUAUCAGCUUAUUAUAGACAUUCUUACACUUCGAAUGCAAGUUGGAAAUAAUUAUUUCCCGAAGGACAACUACAGUUGCUGAAUGAGAUGCUGACUGGAAUCUCCAAGAAGCAUAUUUCUUUUCAGUUGUUCUCCUAGCUGGAAUCUCUAGAGAUGCUGACUGGAAUCUAUAAUUUUUGUGCUAUUUUGUACAAGCCAGAUUGGGUGGCCCAGUUUAUCCAUCCAUACACACACAAAAUUACCAGAGUAUUUGAAGUUCGUUUUGGUAGCAAUGCUAUGUCCGUAGGCUGAUCAAUCCUUCAUCUUGGUAGCUAGCUCUGAAUAAGAUCAGUGGUAUGUACGGAAGAAGUUCGUUCUGGUAGCAAUGCUAUGUCUGUAGGCUGAUCAAUCCUUCAUCUUGGUAGCUUGCUCUGAAUAAGAUCAGUGGUAUGUACGGAAGCCUUUUGUAAUCAUACAUUUUGUCUGUAUGAAUGACGUGCUAUGUAAUCUGUCUAUAGUGUUUGGUCAUGCACUGCUUAAAGAUUAUGAUGAGUCCAACCAACAGUUCUAUGUAUGAUUAUUCAUAUCCUCUGUAUUUGCACUAUGUGUAAACUGGGUAGCCCAGCUGUUUAGUGAUGUUUACUGUUCUUCCA
Long non-coding RNA from Lolium rigidum, 5396 nucleotides. RefSeq lists it as uncharacterized. The record is from RefSeq and is a predicted model, not a curated record. The transcript has 4 exons. Lineage: Eukaryota; Viridiplantae; Streptophyta; Magnoliopsida; Poales; Poaceae.